Molecule: ribosomal RNA, 253 nt
Filed under: uncultured bacterium
Lineage: Bacteria
Description: partial 16S ribosomal RNA
Rfam family: Bacterial small subunit ribosomal RNA
Source: RNAcentral
UACGUAGGAGGCAAGCGUUGUCCGGAAUUACUGGGCGUAAAGCGCGUGUAGGUGGUGGGACAAGUCUGCUGUGAAAGCGCCUGGCUUAACCGGGCGAGGUCGGCGGAAACUGUCCGACUAGAGGACGGUAGAGGGGGGUGGAAUUCCCGGUGUAGUGGUGAAAUGCGCAGAUAUCAGGAGGAACACCGGUGGCGAAGGCGGAUCUCUGGGCCAUUACUGACGCUGAGGAGCGAAAGCGUGGGGAGCGAACAGG